AUAAUGACUCUCGGCAACGGAU
RNAcentral lists this ribosomal RNA (22 nucleotides) under Saxifraga pentadactylis. RNAcentral's name for it is "partial 5.8S ribosomal RNA". Lineage: Eukaryota; Viridiplantae; Streptophyta; Magnoliopsida; Saxifragales; Saxifragaceae. The record is from RNAcentral.